Molecule: ribosomal RNA, 440 nt
Filed under: uncultured Acetivibrio sp.
Lineage: Bacteria; Bacillati; Bacillota; Clostridia; Acetivibrionales; Acetivibrionaceae
Description: bacterial SSU rRNA
Rfam family: Bacterial small subunit ribosomal RNA
Source: RNAcentral
CCUACGGGAGGCAGCAGUGGGGAAUAUUGCGCAAUGGGGGAAACCCUGACGCAGCGACGCCGCGUGAAGGAAGAAGGCCUUCGGGUUGUAAACUUCUUUGAUCGGGGACGAAGAUGACGGUACCCGAGGAACAAGCCACGGCUAACUACGUGCCAGCAGCCGCGGUAAUACGUAGGUGGCAAGCGUUGUCCGGAAUUACUGGGCGUAAAGGGCGUGUAGGCGGGGGGACAAGUCAGAUGUGAAAUACCGCGGCUUAACUGCGGGGGUGCAUCUGAAACUGUUCUUCUUGAGUGUCGGAGAGGAAAGUGGAAUUCCCAGUGUAGCGGUGAAAUGCGUAGAGAUUGGGAGGAACACCAGUGGCGAAGGCGGCUUUCUGGACGAUAACUGACGCUGAGGCGCGAAAGCGUGGGGAGCAAACAGGAUUAGAUACCCUUGUAGUC